AAUCCAUAGGUUAAUGAGGCGAACCGGGGGAACUGAAACAUCUAAGUACCCCGAGGAAAAGAAAUCAACCGAGAUUCCCCCAGUAGCGGCGAGCGAACGGGGAGGAGCCCAGAGCCUGAAUCAGCAUGUGUGUUAGUGGAAGCGUCUGGAAAGGCGCGCGAUACAGGGUGACAGCCCCGUACACAAAAGCGCAUGUGCUGUGAGCUCGAUGAGUAGGGCGGGACACGUGGUAUCCUGUCUGAAUAUGGGGGGACCAUCCUCCAAGGCUAAAUACUCCUGACUGACCGAUAGUGAACCAGUACCGUGAGGGAAAGGCGAAAAGAACCCCGGCGAGGGGAGUGAAAAAGAACCUGAAACCGUGUACGUACAAGCAGUGGGAGCACCCUUUGGGUGUGACUGCGUACCUUUUGUAUAAUGGGUCAGCGACUUAUAUUCUGUAGCAAGGUUAACCGAAUAGGGGAGCCGGAGGGAAACCGAGUCUUAAUUGGGCGUUAAGUUGCAGGGUAUAGACCCGAAACCCGGUGAUCUAGCCAUGGGCAGGUUGAAGGUUGGGUAACACUAACUGGAGGACCGAACCGACUAAUGUUGAAAAAUUAGCGGAUGACCUGUGGCUGGGGGUGAAAGGCCAAUCAAACCGGGAGAUAGCUGGUUCUCCCCGAAAGCUAUUUAGGUAGCGCCUCGUGAAUUCAUCUCCGGGGGUAGAGCACUGUUUCGGCUAGGGGGCCAUCCCGGCUUACCAACCCGAUGCAAACUGCGAAUACCGGAGAAUGUUAUCACGGGAGACACACGGCGGGUGCUAACGUCCGUCGUGAAGAGGGAAACAACCCAGACCGCCAGCUAAGGUCCCAAAGUCAUGGUUAAGUGGGAAACGAUGUGGGAAGGCCCAGACAGCCAGGAUGUUGGCUUAGAAGCAGCCAUCAUUUAAAGAAAGCGUAAUAGCUCACUGGUCGAGUCGGCCUGCGCGGAAGAUGUAACGGGGCUAAACCAUGCACCGAAGCUGCGGCAGCGACACUGUGUGUUGUUGGGUAGGGGAGCGUUCUGUAAGCCUGCGAAGGUGGCCUGUGAGGGUUGCUGGAGGUAUCAGAAGUGCGAAUGCUGACAUAAGUAACGAUAAAGCGGGUGAAAAGCCCGCUCGCCGGAAGACCAAGGGUUCCUGUCCAACGUUAAUCGGGGCAGGGUGAGUCGACCCCUAAGGCGAGGCCGAAAGGCGUAGUCGAUGGGAAACGGGUUAAUAUUCCCGUACUUGGUGUUACUGCGAAGGGGGGACGGAGAAGGCUAUGUUGGCCGGGCGACGGUUGUCCCGGUUUAAGCGUGUAGGCUGGUUUUCCAGGCAAAUCCGGAAAAUCAAGGCUGAGGCGUGAUGACGAGGCACUACGGUGCUGAAGCAACAAAUGCCCUGCUUCCAGGAAAAGCCUCUAAGCAUCAGGUAACAUCAAAUCGUACCCCAAACCGACACAGGUGGUCAGGUAGAGAAUACCAAGGCGCUUGAGAGAACUCGGGUGAAGGAACUAGGCAAAAUGGUGCCGUAACUUCGGGAGAAGGCACGCUGACACGUAGGUGAAGUGAUUUACUCAUGGAGCUGAAGUCAGUCGAAGAUACCAGCUGGCUGCAACUGUUUAUUAAAAACACAGCACUGUGCAAACACGAAAGUGGACGUAUACGGUGUGACGCCUGCCCGGUGCCGGAAGGUUAAUUGAUGGGGUCAGCGCAAGCGAAGCUCCUGAUCGAAGCCCCGGUAAACGGCGGCCGUAACUAUAACGGUCCUAAGGUAGCGAAAUUCCUUGUCGGGUAAGUUCCGACCUGCACGAAUGGCGUAAUGAUGGCCAGGCUGUCUCCACCCGAGACUCAGUGAAAUUGAACUCGCUGUGAAGAUGCAGUGUACCCGCGGCAAGACGGAAAGACCCCGUGAACCUUUACUAUAGCUUGACACUGAACAUUGAGCCUUGAUGUGUAGGAUAGGUGGGAGGCUUUGAAGUGUGGACGCCAGUCUGCAUGGAGCCGACCUUGAAAUACCACCCUUUAAUGUUUGAUGUUCUAACGUGGACCCGUUACCCGGGUUGCGGACAGUGUCUGGUGGGUAGUUUGACUGGGGCGGUCUCCUCCUAAAGAGUAACGGAGGAGCACGAAGGUUGGCUAAUCCUGGUCGGACAUCAGGAGGUUAGUGCAAUGGCAUAAGCCAGCUUGACUGCGAGCGUGACGGCGCGAGCAGGUGCGAAAGCAGGUCAUAGUGAUCCGGUGGUUCUGAAUGGAAGGGCCAUCGCUCAACGGAUAAAAGGUACUCCGGGGAUAACAGGCUGAUACCGCCCAAGAGUUCAUAUCGACGGCGGUGUUUGGCACCUCGAUGUCGGCUCAUCACAUCCUGGGGCUGAAGUAGGUCCCAAGGGUAUGGCUGUUCGCCAUUUAAAGUGGUACGCGAGCUGGGUUUAGAACGUCGUGAGACAGUUCGGUCCCUAUCUGCCGUGGGCGCUGGAGAACUGAGGGGGGCUGCUCCUAGUACGAGAGGACCGGAGUGGACGCAUCACUGGUGUUCGGGUUGUCAUGCCAAUGGCACUGCCCGGUAGCUAAAUGCGGAAGAGAUAAGUGCUGAAAGCAUCUAAGCACGAAACUUGCCCCGA
RNAcentral lists this ribosomal RNA (2615 nucleotides) under Salmonella enterica. Its description in RNAcentral is "partial 23S ribosomal RNA". It matches the Rfam family "Bacterial large subunit ribosomal RNA". Lineage: Bacteria; Pseudomonadati; Pseudomonadota; Gammaproteobacteria; Enterobacterales; Enterobacteriaceae. The record is from RNAcentral. RNAcentral also lists the same sequence under 1 other name.